Molecule: ribosomal RNA, 492 nt
Filed under: uncultured bacterium
Lineage: Bacteria
Description: partial 16S ribosomal RNA
Rfam family: Bacterial small subunit ribosomal RNA
Source: RNAcentral
AGUGAACGCUGGCGGUAGGCCUAACAUAUGCAAGUCGAACGGCAGCACAGUAAGAGCUUGCUCUUACGGGUGGCGAGUGGCGGACGGGUGAGGAAGACAUCGGAAUCUACUUUUUCGUGGGGGAUAACGUAGGGAAACUUACGCUAAUACCGCAUACGACCUACGGGUGAAAGCAGGGGAUCUUCGGCACUUGCACGAUUGAAUGAGCCGAUGUCGGCUUAGCUAGUUGGCGGGGUAAAGGCCCACCAAGGCGACGAUCCGUAGCUGGUCUGAGAGGAUGAGCAGCCACACUGGAACUGAGACACGGUCCAGACUCCUACGGGAGGCAGCAGUGGGGAAUAUUGGACAAUGGGCGCAAGCCUGAUCCAGCCAUACCGCGUGGGUGAAGAAGGCCUUCGGGUUGUAAAGCCCUUUUGUUGGGAAAGAAAAGCAGCAGGUUAAUACCCCGCUGUUCUGACGGUACCCAAAGAAUAAGCACCGGCUAACUUCGUG